Molecule: ribosomal RNA, 473 nt
Filed under: uncultured Magnetococcus sp.
Lineage: Bacteria; Pseudomonadati; Pseudomonadota; Magnetococcia; Magnetococcales; Magnetococcaceae
Description: bacterial SSU rRNA
Rfam family: Bacterial small subunit ribosomal RNA
Source: RNAcentral
UUCGGGACGCCGGCGAGUGGCGAACGGGUGAGUAACACGUGGAGACCUACCCUGGGGUGGGGGAUAACAACUGGAAACGGUUGCUAAUACCGCAUACGCCUUACGAGGGAAAGAUUUAUUGCCCCAGGAGGGUUCCGCGUCGGAUUAGCUCGUUGGUGGGGUAACGGCCUACCAAGGCGACGAUCCGUAGCUGGUCUUAGAGGAUGAUCAGCCACACUGGAACUGAGACACGGUCCAGACUCCUACGGGAGGCAGCAGUGGGGAAUAUUGCGCAAUGGGGGCAACCCUGACGCAGCGAUGCCGCGUGGGUGAAUAAGGCCUUAGGGUUGUAAAGCCCUUUCAGUGGGAACGAUGAUGACGGUACCCACAGAAGAAGCCCCGGCUAACUCCGUGCCAGCAGCCGCGGUAAUACGGAGGGGGCGAGCGUUGUUCGGAAUUAUUGGGCGUAAAGAGCGCGUAGGCGGCUUGUCAAG